UACGGGGGGGGCAAGCGUUGUUCGGAAUUACUGGGCGUAAAGCGUGCGCAGGCGGCCAUCCAAGUCAGUGGUGAAAGCCCGGAGCUCAACUCCGGAAUUGCCAUUGAAACUGUUUGGCUCGAGUACGAGAGAGGUGAGUGGAACUGCGAGUGUAGAGGUGAAAUUCGUAGAUAUUCGCAAGAACACCAGUGGCGAAGGCGGCUCACUGGCCCGGUACUGACGCUGAGGUGCGAAAGCGUGGGGAGCAAACAGG
This 253-nucleotide ribosomal RNA is filed under the name uncultured bacterium. RNAcentral's name for it is "partial 16S ribosomal RNA". It matches the Rfam family "Bacterial small subunit ribosomal RNA", at positions 524 to 776 of the family's 1533-position model. The record is from RNAcentral.